This 270-nucleotide unclassified non-coding RNA is filed under the name rhizosphere metagenome. RNAcentral describes it as "partial ribosomal RNA internal transcribed spacer region". The record is from RNAcentral.
GUAGGUGAACCUGCGGAGGGAUCAUUCACAUGAUUUAUCUUUUUAAACAAACCGUGAACUUUAUAUACUAUUCGUGUUAUAUUUAUAUUUGUUGUAUUAAAAAACACUUCAAAUUUUAUAUCAACACUGUCAUUCGAUCUGAACAUAAGAUAGUUGGCUUGUUUUUUAUUAAAACUUUCUCAGCUUGAUUUUUUAUAAAACUAAACAUUUUCUAAUAUAAUCACCAAUUAAACAUAGAAACAACUCUAUGCCCUGGAUAUCUUGGUUCUC